CGAGCAUAGUCUCGAGAUGGCGAUUCAUAAUAGAGACACCGCCGUCGUUGAGAGUAUUCUCGAGAUGUCAAAAUAAAAUUCGAAUAGGUUGCUUUGCUUGGGAGGAGUAAGUUUGGUAGUAAUAUAGACAAUAUUAAAAAUAUAUUUCUAAGAAAACGAUUAUUACGCAUGUAAAUAAUGUAAGAUUUAGCUGGAUAUAAGUAUAGUAUUAUAAGGAAAUAAUAAUAAUACAAAAAAAAAAAAAAAAAAAAAAAAAUACUUGUUAAAAAAAAAAAAAAAAAAAAAAAAAAAAAAAAAAAAAAAAAAAAAAAAAAAAAAA
RNAcentral lists this unclassified non-coding RNA (319 nucleotides) under Melitaea cinxia (Glanville fritillary). RNAcentral describes it as "misc RNA ENSMCXG00005000141.1". The record is from RNAcentral. Lineage: Eukaryota; Metazoa; Arthropoda; Insecta; Lepidoptera; Nymphalidae.